Molecule: ribosomal RNA, 623 nt
Filed under: uncultured fungus
Lineage: Eukaryota; Fungi
Description: eukaryotic LSU rRNA
Rfam family: Eukaryotic large subunit ribosomal RNA
Source: RNAcentral
AUAUUAUUAAGCGGAGGAAAAGAAACUAACAAGGAUGCCCUCAGUAACGGCGAGUGAAGCGGGCAAAGCUCAACCUGAAAAUCGAUCAUCCACACGGGUGUAUCGAAUUGUGGGCUAGAGACGCAUGAUCAGUGUGUGACCCAGGUAUAACUCUUUUGAAACAAAGGAUCAUAGAGGGUGAGAAUCCCGUCUGUGACCUGGAGCUUGCCGCGUACGAUCUGCGUUCAUAGAGUCGAGUUGUUUGGGAUUGCAGCUCUAAAUGGGUGGUAAAUUUCAUCUAAAGCUAAAUAUCGAUGAGAGACCGAUAGCGAACAAGUACCGUGAGGGAAAGAUGAAAAGAACUUUGAAAAGAGAGUUAAAAAGUACUUGAAAUUGCUAAGAGGGAAGCACUGGAAACCAGUCGUGACUCGCGUGGAUAUUUACUAGUCUGCCAGUUGAACGAAGCUUGACGUAGGAGCCCAAAGCCCUAGGUUUUGAGUCGGUCUUUUGGCGGCUGGGCACUGUUCUGUGAGUCGUAUCAGAAUCAAUUUGAUUCGUGAGAGAAAGCUUUUGCAUCGUUGGAGGUAGUGGGGCAACUCACUUAAUCCAAGAGCGGGAGUGCUAUCAUGGGUUGGAUUGAGGGA